AGCGAACGUUAGCGGCGGGCCUAACACAUGCAAGUCGAACGAGAAUGAAGGGGCAACUCUUCUAGUAAAGUGGCGGACGGGUGCGUAACACGUGGGUAAUCAACCUUCUGGCGGGGACGAACAGUCCGAAAGGACUGCUAAUACCGCGUAAGUCGGCGAGGACUCUGGUUCUUGCCGGGAAAGCUGGCCUCUCCAUGGAAGCUA
Molecule: ribosomal RNA, 204 nt
Filed under: uncultured bacterium
Lineage: Bacteria
Description: partial 16S ribosomal RNA
Rfam family: Bacterial small subunit ribosomal RNA
Source: RNAcentral